Molecule: transfer RNA, 67 nt
Filed under: Thermophis zhaoermii
Lineage: Eukaryota; Metazoa; Chordata; Lepidosauria; Squamata; Dipsadidae
Also listed under: 1 other name
Description: tRNA-Ser
Rfam family: tRNA
About the family: Transfer RNA (tRNA) molecules are approximately 80 nucleotides in length. Their secondary structure includes four short double-helical elements and three loops (D, anti-codon, and T loops). Further hydrogen bonds mediate the characteristic L-shaped molecular structure. tRNAs have two regions of fundamental functional importance: the anti-codon, which is responsible for specific mRNA codon recognition, and the 3' end, to which the tRNAs corresponding amino acid is attached (by aminoacyl-tRNA synthetases). tRNAs cope with the degeneracy of the genetic code in two manners: having more than one tRNA (with a specific anti-codon) for a particular amino acid; and 'wobble' base-pairing, i.e. permitting non-standard base-pairing at the 3rd anti-codon position.
Source: RNAcentral
GGGAAAAAAGCAUAAGUAUGCGGUUAACUUGAAAUUAAUAGAUGGUGGUUUAAUCUGCCUUUUCUCG